AGAGUUUGAUCAUGGCUCAGGACGAACGCUGGCGGCGUGCCUAACACAUGCAAGUCGAGCGAUGAAACCCUUCGGGGUGGAUUAGCGGCGGACGGGUGAGUAACACGUGGGUAACCUGCCUCAAAGAGGGGAAUAGCCUCCCGAAAGGGAGAUUAAUACCGCAUAAUAUGUUUUGGUCGCAUGAUCAGAACAUCAAAGGAAUUUUCUUCGGAUUAUUCCACUUUGAGAUGGACCCGCGGCGCAUUAGCUAGUUGGUGAGGUAACGGCUCACCAAGGCGACGAUGCGUAGCCGACCUGAGAGGGUGAUCGGCCACAUUGGAACUGAGACACGGUCCAGACUCCUACGGGAGGCAGCAGUGGGGAAUAUUGCGCAAUGGGGGAAACCCUGACGCAGCAACGCCGCGUGAAUGAUGAAGGCCUUCGGGUUGUAAAGUUCUGUCUUCUGGGACGAUAAUGACGGUACCAGAGGAGGAAGCCACGGCUAACUACGUGCCAGCAGCCGCGGUAAUACGUAGGUGGCAAGCGUUGUCCGGAUUUACUGGGCGUAAAGGAUGCGUAGGCGGACAUUUAAGUCAGAUGUGAAAUACCCGAGCUUAACUUGGGUGCUGCAUUUGAAACUGGGUGUCUAGAGUGCAGGAGAGGUAAGUGGAAUUCCUAGUGUAGCGGUGAAAUGCGUAGAGAUUAGGAAGAACACCAGUGGCGAAGGCGACUUACUGGACUGUAACUGACGCUGAGGCAUGAAAGCGUGGGGAGCAAACAGGAUUAGAUACCCUAGUAGUCC
RNAcentral lists this ribosomal RNA (781 nucleotides) under uncultured bacterium. RNAcentral describes it as "bacterial SSU rRNA". It matches the Rfam family "Bacterial small subunit ribosomal RNA", at positions 8 to 796 of the family's 1533-position model. The record is from RNAcentral.